This 453-nucleotide ribosomal RNA is filed under the name Epiperipatus edwardsii. Its description in RNAcentral is "partial 16S ribosomal RNA". It matches the Rfam family "Bacterial large subunit ribosomal RNA", at positions 1816 to 2600 of the family's 2925-position model. Lineage: Eukaryota; Metazoa; Onychophora; Udeonychophora; Euonychophora; Peripatidae. The record is from RNAcentral.
AGUUUUUUGAAAAUAUAAAAGAUGAUGUCUGCUCAAUGAAUUACAUUAAAUAGCCAUAGUAUUUAUGACUAUGCAAAGGUAGCAUAAUCAUUUGUCUUAUAAAUUAAGACUAGAAUGAAUGGAUUUUUGAAGUAAUACUUUCUUAAAUUAAAAUUUAAAAAUAGUUUUCUUGUUGAAGAAAGCAAGAUAUUAAUGAGGGACGAGAAGACCCUAUUAAGCUUUAUAAAAUUAUUUUAUUGGGGUAAUAAAAGAAAAAAUUUUCUUUUUAAAAGGAAAAUUGAUAAAUUUGAUUUAUUUUUAAUAAUGAUAGAAUAAGUUACUAUAGGGAUAACAGCAUAAUGUUUUUUUAAAGCUCUUAUUUACAAAAAUUAUUAUGACCUCGAUGUUGGAUUAUAAAUAUUGUAUGAUGAAGCUAUCAUAUAAAUUAGUCUGUUCGACUAUUAAAUUUUUACA